CUUAGUUAUAUUCCUGGAUAACGAACGAGAUCUUAACCUGCUAAUUAGCGGCAAAUACGAUAUAUUCUUAUGUAGAAUUGAAUAUAGUGGAUUUGUUGGAUUUUGAAGAAAAUAUUGGAAUUACGUUAAAUGUGAUUCCUUUCCCUUUUCUACUUAAUUUACAUUUCCAUCUAUUUCUUUUCUUGCGUAUGAAAUGUAUUUGCUUGAUUGUAAAGCUUCUUAGAGA
This 226-nucleotide ribosomal RNA is filed under the name Plasmodium sp. RNAcentral describes it as "partial small subunit ribosomal RNA". Lineage: Eukaryota; Apicomplexa; Aconoidasida; Haemosporida; Plasmodiidae. The record is from RNAcentral.